CCUACGGGUGGCAGCAGUGGGGAAUAUUGCACAAUGGUGGGAACCCUGAUGCAGCGACGCCGCGUGAGUGAAGAAGUAUUUCGGUAUGUAAAGCUCUAUCAGCAGGGAAGCAAAUGACGGUACCUGACUCAGAAGCCCCGGCUAACUACGUGCCAGCAGCCGUGGGAAUACGCAGGCGGCAAGCGUUAUCCGGAUUUACUGGGUGUAAAGGGAGCGUAGCCGGUUAUGCAAGUCUGAAGUGAAAGCCCAAGGCUCAACCAUGGGACUGCUUUGGAAACUGUAAAACUGGAGUGCAGGAGAGGUAAGCGGAAGUCGUGGUGUAGCGGUGAAAUGCAUAGAUAUUAGGAGGAACACCAGUGGCGAAGGCAGCUUGCUGGACUGUAACUGACGUUGAGGCUCGAAGGCGUGGGGAGCGAACAGGAUUAGAUACCCGAGUAGUC
Molecule: ribosomal RNA, 440 nt
Filed under: uncultured bacterium
Lineage: Bacteria
Description: partial 16S ribosomal RNA
Rfam family: Bacterial small subunit ribosomal RNA
Source: RNAcentral